GCCAGUACAGGGGCUGGAGGGAAAGAACAGUGCUGAGGGCUCCUGGAUCACUGCUUUGAAUUAAAACCUUUUUUUUAUUUUUGGUAUGUGAGCAGGCUUGACAUAGGUUGUUGGUGCCAGCUGGGCUUCUGUGCCUCAGUUUCUCCCCUCCCUGGGGCUACCAACUGCUCAGGCAGAGCUACCCACAAGAUCAACAGAAGAUGUGCAGAGAGGGGAAGAGGUCACAGCAUCCACCUCCAUCUCCGUUGGCAUUGCCAGGGAAAAUUCUUCAUGAGGACAUGAGACAGCAGCCACAUAGCACGGUAUUGAGAGAGGAGGCACUGAGUUAAUUUGGCUGCCCAAUUAACACCAAGGGAAGUCAUUACUAUACAGCUCAUGGCUCUCUGUCCCAACACGUUGUUGCCCAGGUCCCAGGGAGGUGAGCAGAGCUCAGCAGUGGGACACAGAGGGUGGGCUGGGGGCCCUGGUGAAGCAUUUGACUCCUGCUCCGUGAACAAAGCCUGGUGCAAACAAAUUCAAAGCAAACGAGAGGCUUGGGAUUGGGGUUCCUGGUGGCACCCACCCUCCUGCCUGUGCUGGGACCCCUCACUUCCCCACCAAGCCUCCCCCUUCCUGUGGCCAUUCUCUGUCUGAGCAGGGCCAGAGAGCUGCCGAGCCCUACAUCCACCUGUAUAUACGUAAACACACACGCACAGUUCCCACUUGCACGUGGACCCCAUAGCUUUGCUUCUGACAGAAGGUGCACCCAGCACCAAGGGGUAAUGCCUCACACACAAACCCCAGAAAUUAUAUAUAAAAAAAAACCAGGUCAGAUACACUUCAGACUCAAGCCUGGGACAACUCUCAAAGUGCCAAGGCUGAAGCAUGAUGGGGCUGGAAACUUUUCCCAUCGAGGUGGGAUUUAGAGAGGUUUCCCUCUCUGUAACUGGGUCGAUCACAUGCCCAGAGCCUGUGAAGCCAAGAUAAACCUUGGCCAAACGUGCAGCCUCACUACUGUGAGCAUCCCUGACCGUACCAGGGCUGUCCUGCCACCCUAAAUGCUAAAUGUGCUCCAUCAGGGUCACCGAGUCCCAAAAUAUCCCCCUCCUGCCCGGUGUCCUUUGUAGCAGCUCUGGUGGGGCCAGAGGCACCUUCCAACGGCUGGACUGGAGUGAGGAGGGUUGUUCUCUCGCCCAUCGCCCCGUGGGGUGUACCCAGCAGCAGCUCAGCUCCGCUGUGCCGGUGCUGCUGUCGGCAAGGGCAGGUUCCCCGCCGGCCCCCGGGGUUUGGCAGCUCGCGGGGCUCCUGCCUGCCCGCAGCCCCGAGGGGACGGGGAUGGGGGCCAGCAUCCCGGACAAAAGAGAUGGAUUAUUCGGUACAAGCAUACCCCCUGCCGACGAGCUGGAAAAACACAGCUCCCCGGACACCUUCCCCCCCUCCAAAAAAACCCACCCAGCUACAACCACGGGAUAGAACCAGGGGGGCCGGGACAUCCCCGAGGCGAAGGCCGGAGGCUGGAGAGGGGCCGGGCUCCCGCAAGGAGUUGGAGACGGGAGUUGCUCGCAACACGAAUGAACACCCGCCCACCCCCAUCUCGCCAGGCCCGGCAGUAGCAAGUUUUUUCCACAGAAGCGCUGCCUGCCCCGCCAAUCCGGGCCCUGCGGGGCAGGGGGACCCCGGCUGCGGCUUUAAAAGCGGAGCCCUUUGUGCGCCGGGCUCCGGAUCGGGAUGUGCUGUGCCGUGCCGGGAUGUGCCGUGCCGCCGGCAGCCGCCACCGCCGCCAGGAAGAGCCUUGGACCACGUUGCACCAGCAGCCCCGGGACCCGAGCAUCCCCCUCGGCAGGUAUUUCAUCCCCCUCCCCUGCACCCCAAUAAACGUGUGGCAGGCCGGCUUGCCCCGCUCGCCGUUUUGCCGGGUCUGGGGUGGUUGCCUUUUAUUAUUUAUUUACUUUCCCCCCCCCCGUAACCGCCUUCCUUCUUCCCUCCCUCGCACCCGCUGGUUUGGGAUGGUGCGGCUGGGGGUGUCGUGCUGGUGGCACCGAGGCACAGCAGGCUGGGGUGACGGGGUGCUGCCCGCUGGUGGGGAUGUCAGGGCUCGUUGGGGACAGCUCGGUGUCACCGGCGGCUUGAGGGGGUGGGGUGAGCACAGAAUGGCUCCCUGGAGUCUGUCUGUUAUUGUAGGGUCUCUCGAGGGGGUGGGAUCAGCGCUGUGGGUUGCUGAUGCCCCGGAGUGGGGUAUGCCCCGGUAUAGGCACCUCCAGGCUGUCCCUGUGCCCAUAGGCAGACCUCUCCCAAAGCCUUUGACGUUUGGCCCUGAGCAGACCUACAGCCCAGGUAGCACCUUUUAGGGGGACUCUAACCUGGCCUGGGGUGUCCCUGCAGCUAUCUUGUCACCAGAUAGUACCACGAGCAGUGGCUCCGGGAGCAGCUGCAGCCCUGCUCCGUGCCCAGACAGCCCUGCUGCAGUGGGACCUGCCUACAUCCCUUCAGCCCCCAGCUCAUCCCUGCCCUGCCUUGGCAUUUUGGCCACAGCCCUGCUGCAGUUCUAGAGCUGUGCCAUGUCCUUGGAAGCAGAAAAGCUCCCUCCUGGGCUGAGCAGUGAUGGUUGGAGCCAGCCAACAGCACCACAGAUGCUGGAUCUGGGCUGUCACUUUUCCUCCUUGUCCCUGAUUCCCUGACCCCUGCUCUGGGCUUGGAGGGGGCAUGCUAGUGGCUCCAUCUGGAGCUGGGAGACAGGAGAGGGUCAGGUGUGCAGUGGUUAGCCAUCCCACCUGGGUGUGCUCUUUGCUCCUGGUGGGUUCCCAGGAGUGCUGGGGAAGCGUCAGGCUUGACUGGGAAGCACAAGAGGCCUCAACCUUUGCACUGUGGGAAAUCACCCAGCAAACCGUUGGUGAACUUGGAUGCCAGAGCAGCGCUUCUGUGCCAAAGCCACUGGCCUCGUGUGAGCAGAGGAUGGAGGAGACAUCGACCACAGCCACCCCACGGAGCCCCCUUUCCUCACCCCUGUUGACAGAGGGAUGCAGCUGCCCUGAUUGCUGGCUGGAGCGUGGCUGAGCACCCACGCAGUGCAAGGCACCCAGCUGGGCUUGCAGUCUCCCGCGGCACUGGGGAUGGGGACGAGCCCUGGCUGGGGACCAAGGGCAGGCGCUCGCCAGCCCCCACGUGCAGGGAGCCGUUGGUGCGGCUGUUUGCAUGAGCAAGAGUGAGAGCUGGGGCUGACCACAGGAACCCACAGCUGUUGCGGGGGGCCCGGCUGCUACAGGGGUCCCAGUGGCCCCAGGGAGCGGCUCAGGGGCUGUUAUGCAAAUUUAGAGGAGCCAGGAAACCAGUCGGAGGGCAAAGGAGUCUGAAUUUCUCUUCUCUCCUCUGAGUCACCAGGACUGACUUCCCUGGCUCUGAGAUGCUGUGGAUGCUCAACACAUCCCCUGUUGAGAGCCUUGGCCGGGGUCCUUCCAGCAUGGCACCGCUCUGGCACCUGGGCACAGGCUGGUCCUUGUCCCUGUGGCUGGGCAGGGCUGGGCAAUGUGUGUCUCCCUGCUCCCAGGCUUGCCCCUCCUAUAUGGCACAGCCUCAUGGUCUCCAUUCUGGCUCUGCAGCCUCUGCCACCACACCCAGGACCUACAGCUGUUCUGGAAAGGGGCUGGGACCAGUGUGGGGUGGUGACUGGCUGGGCAGCUGGUGGUGGGACAGAAUGGGUGCAGUUUUGGGAAAGGACCAAUUCUGGCUGUUCUCAGCUCAGUCUCUGUUCCUGGGGUCCUUCCACACACAGCUUUAUAACUGCCUCAAGGGACAGUAGAACUGCUGUAGGGCCCUGAUGGAGGGGACUCCAUUGUAGGUGGAAAAGGGGCACUGUGGCUGCAAGCAUGAAACAUCCAAUGAUUUGGCCCUGGUAUGGUUUCUUGAAAAUCACCCUGGUUUCUUUAUUUUGGCACAUCCCUGGGGUACUGGGGGUUAGCAGUGGGCUUGGGGACAUCCCCAGGAGGGCAGGGUCUGGUUCCUUCUGCUCUGUCCCAGGACCGUCCUCUUUCACAGUGUCCUUUGUCACAGCCCCCUUGGGCAGCUGCAGAGGAUGAUGUCCUUACCUGCCCAGGCUUGCCAGAGGAACCUCAGAGCCCCACACAUCCCCAGGUACCAUCACAGCAGCACUGACAUGCUCUGCCCUGCUGUUUGCACCCUGGUGACCCAAGUGAUGGGCACAGGCAGAGUCUGUCCCCCUGGAAAUCAGAUACUGGGGACCCUGUGAUUUCACAUGGUAGUGGUCAGGCUGGAGGCACCUGCCUCCUGUCAGAUACAAAAGGCAUUGCUUUGCCUGCCACAAAGGAGGAAUGUGCAUGUGUGAGCAAGAGAGGCCAGCAUCCGUGACAGAGCAUACCCAGGCUUCUGCCACUUCCUCACACCACAGGAGAGACACGGUGGCCCAGCCCUGAGUGAUGGCCACCAUCAAGCACAGCACCCUGGUGUGGCCAGCUCGGCAGCAUCCCCCCUUCUUGCAGACCAAGCCACAGGUGAGUAUGUGGGAUGUCACCUGCCUAACACAGAGGAGCAGGGCCCAGACCUCAGAGCAGCCUCUGGUAUGUUGGAAGGGGACAAGUCCAGCUGGACCCUGGCCUGGCAUGAGGAAGAAAAUUAGUCACAGCAGCUGAAGGGCUCCAUUGCCACAUUUCUGCCCCAGUGCCUGCUGGAAGCACCCUGACAGGCAGAUUCCCUCUGGCACAAGAAAAGCACCAGGGGAUAAAUGCCCUUGUGCCAGGAAGAUGGACCCCAUCCCAGCAGGUUGGGGUGUCCGCAGCCCCCACACUCUUCUCUGCAGGAGAAAUACCCCGUAAUGAUCCUGAAAGCACCUUUGGGUGACAGGCCAGGUGCUGCAUGGCUCUCUGACAGUGCCACAGAUUGGCAAAACAUGUUGCUCCAGUGGGACACAGUGGCUGUUUUUGCUGCCCCGACGUGGGGUGCACAGGAUGAGUCCCUGUGCUGCUCUCUGGGCUCUGGCUCCUGCUACCACCAUUUGUCCCUGUGCCCUUCUUCCCAGUCGCCUUCCCGUGCUGCAGGGAGGCAGAGCACAGCUAGAAAUACACCCACUGCAUCCCCCCUUCCUGCCUGUUUGCUUCCUCCCCUCCUGGCCUUGCCUUUCAGUGUGGCUUCCUAAGAAAACAAAGGUCACACUUUGCCUACACACACACACACACACACACACACACACACACACACACACACACACACACACACACGUGUGUGCACAGCUGGUGCCCUUCUAAUAAACUUUGACCACAUUUCCAUCCCUGUGGAUGGGGGGAAGCAAUCUGCAAACAUGCUGAGGUCAACAGGGCUGGUAAAAAUGAGCAGCUAGGGAGGGAGAGAGAGGCUUUCCUUUCCUCCAGCAUGGAGGCAGGCUGCUCCACAGCUCAAACCCUUAUUAGACAGUGGAAAAGCCACAUAUGGCACACCCAACACACCCCACCUGCAGGAAGGGCUUUGAUCUGAGCAGUCGUGCUGUGGGAGCUCCCUGGGGACCGAUGGCAUGACUGCCAGCCCGCUCACCUGGGCUGAGCUCUGACAGACUCAUUCCACAGUUGUGGGGCUCUGAACCCUGUGCUGAUGUCACAGCCUGGACCCGUGAACCCCUGUCAGCCCCAGCCUGCAUUCCACAUAUCCCAGAGAUUCUGCUGGAGGAAGCCAAGCUCCACCAACCCAGAGGCAGCGAGCUGCCACCAAAUGCGCUCAUCCCACAGCUACCCUGCUCCGUCUUCCCUCCAAAAAAGCCACAAUUGCCAAAAACCCCCUGAAAAAUCCAUGGGUUGGUAUAUUCAGGUUGAGAGCACAGGGGUUGCAGUGACUUAUCUGACAUAGUUUUCCAGAAA
This is a long non-coding RNA of Pseudopipra pipra, 5837 nucleotides long. RefSeq lists it as uncharacterized. NCBI's taxonomy places the organism in Eukaryota, Metazoa, Chordata, Aves, Passeriformes, Pipridae. The record is from RefSeq and is a predicted model, not a curated record. The transcript is spliced from 2 exons.